GACGAACGCUGGCGGCGUGCCUAAUACAUGCCAGUUGAGCGCUGAAGGUUGGUACUUGUACCAACUGGAUGAGCAGCGAACGGGUGAGUAACGCGUGGGGAAUCUGCCUUUGAGCGGGGGACAACAUUUGGAAACGAAUGCUAAUACCGCAUAAAAACUUUAAACACAAGUUUUAAGUUUGAAAGAUGCAAUUGCAUCACUCAAAGAUGAUCCCGCGUUGUAUUAGCUAGUUGGUGAGGUAAAGGCUCACCAAGGCGAUGAUACAUAGCCGACCUGAGAGGGUGAUCGGCCACAUUGGGACUGAGACACGGCCCAAACUCCUACGGGAGGCAGCAGUAGGGAAUCUUCGGCAAUGGACGAAAGUCUGACCGAGCAACGCCGCGGGAGUGAAGAAGGGUUUCGGAUCGUAAAACUCUGUUGGUAGAGAAGAACGUUGGUGAGAGUGGAAAGCUCAUCAAGUGACGGUAACUACACAGAAAGGGACGGCUAACUACGUG
RNAcentral lists this ribosomal RNA (497 nucleotides) under uncultured bacterium. RNAcentral describes it as "partial 16S ribosomal RNA". It matches the Rfam family "Bacterial small subunit ribosomal RNA", at positions 28 to 507 of the family's 1533-position model. The record is from RNAcentral.